RNAcentral lists this long non-coding RNA (540 nucleotides) under Marmota monax (woodchuck). Lineage: Eukaryota; Metazoa; Chordata; Mammalia; Rodentia; Sciuridae. The record is from RNAcentral.
CACACACAAAAUAGAGGAAAACAAAGGAAAGAUUCAAGCCCUAGAAUCUAGUAAAGAAAAAAAUAAGCACAUUAAGAUUUUUUUCUGUUGACAUUCAUGGUACCCAACUUCAAUCUUCAAAAAAGAACAGAGAUAGCUUCUUUUCCUUUCUUCUUUCAGUGGGAUUCCUCUGUGUUGUCCAAGUGAGCCUUAAACUUAAGCUCCUCCUGUCCCAGGCUUCAUACUAACUGGAAUUAAAGGCACAACUCACCAUGCCUGCCGGUAACUAGUUUUUAACUCAGAUGACAUUUGUUCAUGGAGAUAGAGCUUGACGUGGAAAUGAAAGCAUUAGGAAGAAUCUCCCAAGUAAAGAAUAGAGGGACUUACAGGUGAACAAAGCUGGGGGCCAGGGAAUAGUCUAAUUUGAGUUGUUAACAGUGCUCAUUAGUGUGAGCAAAGUGUUCUAAUGAAAAGAUGCUACCAAGCUCUAGCUUGAACAAAGGAAGCUGGGAGCCAGUAACCAUUCUCAUCCAGUAUAGUUUGGAUUUCUUUUUACUCAUG